GAUCAUGGCUCAGGAUGAACGCUAGCUACAGGCUUAACACAUGCAAGUCGAGGGGCAGCAUGUUGGUUGCUUGCAACCGAUGAUGGCGACCGGCGCACGGGUGAGUAACGCGUAUCCAACCUACCCUUGUCCAUCGGAUAACCCGUCGAAAGGCGACCUAACACGAUAUGCGGUUCACAGCAGGCAUCUAACGUGAACGAAAUGUGAAGGAGAAGGAUGGGGAUGCAU
This 228-nucleotide ribosomal RNA is filed under the name uncultured bacterium. RNAcentral describes it as "partial 16S ribosomal RNA". It matches the Rfam family "Bacterial small subunit ribosomal RNA", at positions 15 to 236 of the family's 1533-position model. The record is from RNAcentral.